This 2656-nucleotide long non-coding RNA is filed under the name Triticum aestivum (bread wheat). Its description in RNAcentral is "long non-coding RNA (TAES_LNC007561)". The record is from RNAcentral. Lineage: Eukaryota; Viridiplantae; Streptophyta; Magnoliopsida; Poales; Poaceae.
GCUCGUUCUGUCUCGCACUCGUGAACGACUGGCGGCGGCGGCGACUGGAAAACCUCCUCCGUCCACCGCUCUGGUCUGCCUCCGUCCACCGCUCCUGCCUCCUCCGACCGGCGACUGCGACGCCCCCUGCCCUCCUCCCUUCGACGCUCUGCCCCUCCGGAUGGGGUGACGGGGCCGGGGUCGCCAUCCUACUACUUCCCGGAUCUCGUCUCCGCCCCCAAGAUCUUCACCUUCCGAUGACGACGACGGCCAGGAGAUCAUGCUCCUCUUCGUCCAAGGUUAUCCCCUACUCCUCCUCUUCCACCCACCAUUUUUUCCUAACCUGCUACACGCACUAACUUGCGCCUGUACAGAUCCAAGAGCCCUCUCUCCUGUUUGAGUUUUGUAUCACAAGAACCAAUACGAAAGAACAUCCAUCGUUUGCAGUAGUGUUUCUACCUAACUAUCAUGGCCUCACAAGUGAGCACAACCACAUCUACCUCCUUGUGAUGCUAAUAUACACACAAUGUUCUAGUAUAUUUCUGAAGGGGACUACUCAGCCUGUACUAGCUUUGUCCUAAUUUUAACUUAGAAUCUUUAGGAUAACCUGAAGUAUGCUUGUCUUGCUUAUAAUAACGGUGUAGCAUAAACAUACCAGUUAUUGGAAUUCAAUUGCGCUGAUGGAAGUAGCAUUAGUAUCAUGGUAACUGUUCAGUUUAAAAUUACUCUCAUUCAAGUUCUUCCCUUUUGUACCAAGAUAUGGAACCAAGGUUUGAGCAUAUGUAAUCUUGAUAAUUGGCCUUCGGUUUAAACUCUAUGGACCCAAGGGGACAUUCACUCCAUUAUCUCUAUCCAUUUUACACUUUUUGCGUACGCCAUUGAGUUGAUCUAUUGUUGUCUUAAUUUCAAGCUUUAUUUGUAAAAAGUAUGUUAGUGGCAAAGUAAUUAAAAGAUGAAACCAUGUGCUAUUAAGAUUUUGAGUUUUCCUGCAGAUUAUUCAAAGAGAGAACAACAUCUUAUUAUGUUUGGAUCUGUUUGUUUGCGAAAGAUGCAUAUAAAUAAGAAUAUGUGCUAAUAAAUAUUUUGACUUCUGAAUUGAUAUUAUCUUUUUGUAAAGAAUUUUGACUUAUAAUGUGAUUGCAGCAAAGCCAAUUGAUAGUAUUAUCGAUGCAGUGCUGUUAAGUCAUCAAUUACUAAUAUACUGUUAGAAAAUGGCCUUUACUGAUUGAAGGAGAAAAUUGCUACCAAGGAGAAAACAUAAGGUAUGUAAUUUUGAAGUACCAAUUUAGAGGUGCAGUUUUAUGUUUUCUUCCAUUGGGCAUUUUACAAUUUGUUCAUGAAUUUGCACAUGCUAACUAUAAGUAGAUGAAUAUCUUGUGGAGAAAACAGAGGGUGUAUACAAAUGAGUUCAUGCUCUUGUCAGUUUUUCUUUGUGGAAUUACCAUGUCGGCGCUGGUGGCAUUGAACGUGUCGACGAUGGGGGCAAUGCCAUCCUUGACGAUUCAGUUCAGGAUCCCCCACUUGGCGGCGUCCUUGGCGCUGUAGCUCUCUUUCGGGUUCAGCCCGCAGCCGACGGAGACGACCAUGAACUUGCCGUAUGUUGGAAUAAACCCAAGUCCGCACCUAGUAUAUUUCUCUGCCAUGGUAGGCACUUCUGUUUUGCUGCCAUGCAGCGUUUUUAGCUAGUGUCUAGUUUUCAGUUUCAGUCUUUCUUCAGUCAAUCUAUUAGCAAGUUUAGCUAGAGUAGGUAGUCGCCAGGAGCGAUUCUGGCGUCCACUCUGAUCGCUUGUGGGAUGGAAUUUUUUCCAGUUGUAGCUCAUUUUUCAUUAGCUGAUACCUUCAGUUAUCGUAUACCAAUGUCCUUCUCUGAGCCCGUUUUUCAGUUGCAGCUUUGAAUAAAUUCAGUGAAUUUAGUUUCAUGACGAGAUUAUACAAAGCGAAGCAGUUGGUUAGUAGUAAUCCUUUAAACAUAAUACAAUAUCGAGGAGAAAAGCUGUGACGAGCUUGUCAUUAGUGCCAUCCGGUGCAUAUUAUUCUGAACAUUAUACAAUAUUACAAUUGGAAUAUUUUUUAUACAAUCGAAAAGCUCAAAAGGCUAUUUUCAAACUAGUUUCAGUCUAACAUUCGUUUCUUGCGAAAUGAUGGCUUUCAUGCCGUGGUCAUCUAGGAAUUAAAGAGAACAAUAUUAUACAUAUAAGAACACAAAUAGGUGUGUGCUUAUUACGUUUGCAUCUAUUUCAUUGGGAACAUGGAUAUAAAUAAAUAUAUGUGCUUAUAUAUAGUUUAAAAUUUAUAUUGUAUAGUGACUACGUUGUUGUUUUUUGCUUUGCAGGUUUCCUAAAGCUAGUCAAUGAAAUUGUUCAAAGAAGUUGAUCUUGGAAGUUUCAGUAGUGACUAUCCCAGCAGCAACACAUUUUGGCAUGGAUGAUUUACACAGAUACAUGUUAAUAAUGGAACUAAAUGAUUAUUCUUGCUGGAUUUCUACCUUAGUUAGCAUUUCCGCUGUUAAACCAUGAUUAGCACGCUAAAUUUAUUCGCAGUGUCGUUAUUUGUGCGACUGAACAUGUAUAACUUAUGGUCAGCGUGUUUGAUGUGGAUUGAAGUGUUUUAUUUUUUUACUGUUUAUGCUUGUUUCCUGUUUUUUUGUUUUUUCUUUGUCAUUCCUGAAGUUUGCAAU